UCCGAACCUCUUCGGGAGACUACUUCUCGCGGUAUCUGACUCCUAGGCUCCGCCCUCUGCACGCCGCUCACGGUAUCUGACGCUCAGGCUCCGCCCCCUGCAUGUCUUUGUUGGCAAACAGUUCUGGGGGUCGUCCGAUCCUGCAGGUAGUGUCCGCGUGGGAGGGGAGGUGCAGCCGUCAGCGCUGCCGGCGGCUCCCGUUACGUGGGCUGGGAAGUUCAAGCACAUGGCUCUAGCUUCUGGUGAGAGGUUUCAGGCUGCGUCAUAAUAUGGCAGAGAAGAUCAAUGGGUAAAUGGACAUGUGUGAAGAAAGGCAAAACCAGAGACCGUCCAGGCUGGACUUGAACUCCUUCCUCGGCUGAAGUGAUCCUCCUGCCUCAGCGUCCUGAAUAGGUAGGACUACAACUGUGAGUCACUUUACUCAACCAGAAAUGGUGAAUGAUAAAAAAUGUUUAUAGAUCAUUGCUUCUAAAAAGACUAUAUUAGACACACUGUGGUACCCAAAACCAAAUGCUAGCUACUUUUUAACUCAAAAAUAAUUAGUCAGCUAAUGAUCUAUAUUUUGCUUUACAGUUUAACUUGACGAGUAGAAAAAUGUCAAGGUAUAAGACAAUGCAAAAUGUAGGGACAAAGAAGAAAACUUCCCCUUUCACCCUCUGAAGGUUUGCUGAAAAUGAACUGAAAAAGGCAGAGCAACAGGAGAAAAGGCAUGCGUUUAUUUUAACGUGCAUACCAUGGGGAAUUGCAGAAGAGUAAUGGCCUAAUAACCCAGCAGGGUCCAGAUGCCUGUCUACCCUCUCUUCUUAGGGAAGGCGGGGAUGAGGUGUGUAGGAGUAAAUGACAAAAGUUCCUCUGAGCUCUGGGGGAGGUGUUGGGAAGGUGAGGGAAGUGGAGCCAGAAUCCACAGAUGUCAUUAUCCAUCUGCACACUUUGUUUACUACCCAGAAGGCAAGAAUAUUGCAUUUUAAAAGUGCCCGGACUUUUGUUCUUUCUUAUCACAAAUGACUUGGGAAGCUCCGACCACUCAUGUUUACCCCGAGUGAAAGUCCCAUUCAAAGCCUUGCUUCCUGGAGAGCUUUGAGAUUCUGGUACAAAAGGCAUUUUAUAAGCACAAAGUGGAAAAGCAUCAUUCAUAUUCAUUUGCUGCUGCGGCAUUUCUCCCUGGAAUCUUCCUCUUGUCUGUCAACAUUGGGCAAAAGGACUGGCCUCAUCUACAUUACAGAUAUCCUUGUGAUGGUCUGGAGGUAGGAAAAGGACACCCAGCACAAGAGUGAGAAGGGAAACUCAAGCUCUCCUGUUGGAGAGUCUCAGGCUUCUUUAUCCAUAAAACUGAUUGGACAUAAUUGGUGUGGGUUUAUGAUUUGUUUUGGAAAAACCUGAGUAUGAAAUCAAUACUGUGCUUUGUGCGGGACCUGUGGGAGAGGCGGCCAUCCAGAGGGCUCUCUGAGGGGUCAUUUAGAAUGCAACUCUUCUGGGCAGAGGAUGGUCUGCACUGGCCUCCACCACGCAGGAAGGCUUCCAGAGUGGAGAAAUGUCCACUAACAUGGCUUCUGUGAGGUGUGGGCAGCUCUUUUCUUGGUGUGGGGCUCUGUUUGGUGUGAUGUAAGAGGUAUCACAGGGCUUUCCUGUCCCAGAAGAUCUUAGUGGAUGACACCUAUGGGGGUUGCCAGCUGGAUUAGGUGAGGCAGAGCACACAGCUCUACCUAAGGGGUCCCAUUCUCAUCUGGGAAUAUUCUAGGACAUAGGACACUACCCAAGAGGCAGAGCCUGGAGUGGCAUUAUACGGGUGAAAGAUCUGAGUGCCAGGUCCAUAUAAAUGAGUGGGGUUGGGGGGAUCGAGGUGCUUAGAGAACAGGAGAGCUGCCACAGGAAGGGAUGGUACCCACAGGGAGGAAGAACCAUGUCUCAGAUUCCUUCCUUUAUACCUCUUCCUGGGACCUCCUUGGAGUCUGCAGAUCAGCUGGUGCUUCUCCAUCUCCUGUCAUCUUCUUCAAAUCUUUUCAUCACAAAAAAUUUUCAGUGUAAACCUAAGUAGAGAGAACAGUAAAAGGAACCCCCAGGGGCCGUCACCAUCACCCACCAUCAACAGCGAUCAAUGGGCCGUCUAAGUCCGUUUUCCCUACUUUCAUCCCCGCUCCAGAUUAUUAUCAAAAGUAGCUCAUCCCUAGUUAUAUUUCAUUUAAUCCUCUCAGUUGCAUUUUUUUCUGGCCACGUUCUUCUGUCUGUCAAUCAUGGUCUUAAGUCAGACAGUCUGCUGGGUUGGCUAGGAAAAGACUCUUUCUUUCUCAAGAAAGAGUUGUAAGUAAUUUUGAGAGAAAUGUUGCAGAUUGACCAAACAAGGUAUGCUUAAUUUAGUUCAAUUCAUCAGUUACUUAUUGAGUCCUAGGCUUAGUGCUGGAUUCAACAUAUCAGUCAAUCAUGGUUUCUGGCCUACAGGGUUCAGUGCUCUAGUUCUGGGUGUGCGACGAGGACCACAGCAAGUAUUCACUCAGGAAAGGCAGAAUGUGGCCACAGGGAAAGGAAAGGUACAAGGUGUGGUGGAGGUUACAAGGCAUGACAAACACACUGGGCUGGGAAUGGUAACAGUGGAAGAGGAUCAGGAAGGGUCGUGAAGCCUGAGGCAUUGGAGAGGGACUUGGAAACCUGGGCAGACAGUGGGACGGUGACUGCAAAACACUCAAGUGUGCAGGUGGGAAUGGCAGUGGGGGACAGGCGAGCCUAGCAGCGAGAACACAUGGUGCAAGGGGCCCCAUGGGGGUUCUGGGGUGGAGGAGGUAGGCAAUUGGGCUCUCAAAGAAACCCUUGGGCUUUUUCUAGCUUAAUAAUAAACAAUUAUUAUUUCUAAGGAAAAAGAAAACUGGAUUUCUAGAAGCAUGGCUAUUAAAAAAAAAACAACUCCAGACCCCAAUUAGGAAACUGAAAGGAAAUCAAAGUGGGCCUAAUGGAAAUUAGGUAGUAGGGGCAAUAAAAGAAAAUGCAGGUAGCUGCCUAAAAUCCAGUGGACUCCAGGUCCACCAGCCAGGCACCACAUUGUUUUAACCUAUAAAUGAAGUAUGUCCAUGACUCUCACUACAUAAAAUGGAAGUUAAGCCAUAGUCCUUUUCCAAUGUGAUCUGAAAAUGUACUGUUUUUGCCUCUAGCAAAGCAAAUAUAUAGACAGAAAAUUCCUAGCACUGCUUUCACGCGAGGGAUGACAAAGGUGACAGACUCGGGCAAAAUGUUCAUAUUCUAUACGUGAAAUGGAAUGGUAACUUGAUUUUUCAAAAGGAUAAGAUUCUUGUUACAAAUUUAAGCAUAUUUAUUAAAGAAAACUCAAAUGGUCAUGUGCUGGGUGCUGGGAACACAAAAAUUAAUGUUUUCUGAUAACAGUAUUGUGUGUUUUUUUUAACUUUUAUUUUAGGUUUGAGGGUACAUGUAAGGAUUUGUUACACAGGUAUCAUUCUGAUCAUUGUUGUUACAGGAGAGAUGAGAGGAAGUUAGAGGGGCUAGAAGAACCAGGAGACCUGUUGAAAAUCAUGAAUACAAAGAGAGGUCGUUUGCUUCUGUGCUUCAAUUCUAUAAUAAAAUGAGUACAAUGUC
RNAcentral lists this long non-coding RNA (3579 nucleotides) under Homo sapiens (human). Its description in RNAcentral is "HSALNT0169690". Lineage: Eukaryota; Metazoa; Chordata; Mammalia; Primates; Hominidae. The record is from RNAcentral.